RNAcentral lists this ribosomal RNA (434 nucleotides) under uncultured bacterium. Its description in RNAcentral is "bacterial SSU rRNA". It matches the Rfam family "Bacterial small subunit ribosomal RNA", at positions 355 to 786 of the family's 1533-position model. The record is from RNAcentral.
UGAGGAAUAUUGGUCAAUGGGCGGUAGCCUGAACCAGCCAAGUAGCGUGAAGGAUGAAGGUUCUAUGGAUUGUAAACUUCUUUUAUAAAGGAAUAAAGUGAGGCACGUGUGCCUUUUUGUAUGUACUUUAUGAAUAAGGAUCGGCUAACUCCGUGCCAGCAGCCGCGGUAAUACGGAGGAUCCGAGCGUUAUCCGGAUUUAUUGGGUUUAAAGGGAGCGUAGGCGGACGCUUAAGUCAGUUGUGAAAGUUUGCGGCUCAACCGUAAAAUUGCAGUUGAUACUGGGUGUCUUGAGUACAGUAGAGGCAGGCGGAAUUCGUGGUGUAGCGGUGAAAUGCUUAGAUAUCACGAAGAACUCCUAUUGCGAAGGCAGCUCACUAAACUGCAACUGACAUUGAGGCUCGAAAGUGUGGGUAUCAAACAGGAUUAGAUACC